Molecule: long non-coding RNA, 9416 nt
Organism: Globicephala melas (long-finned pilot whale)
Lineage: Eukaryota; Metazoa; Chordata; Mammalia; Artiodactyla; Delphinidae
Source: RefSeq, a predicted model, not a curated record
CUUUCCCCUCCUGGAAGCCUCGGUCCCUGCGCGCAACUUUAUGGAGGGGUCGACCCCAGUGCACCCCGCUUCUGGAGCGGUCAUUGGGGCUGAAGCCAGGCAGGAUUUUGGGGGCACUCAGAAUCCUUCUGAUGGAGCUCUGCGUUUGAAGCCUGGGUGCAGGAGUUUUCAGAAGAGGAUGGUGCUCUGCAUGACGGCUGUUUGGCUUGACAGACAGACCCCUGAGUCUCAAAGGACACUUUGAUGCCGCCCAUGGAUUUCCCCGUAUGCUGCACCGACACACGGCACGGGAGAAAUAAAAAGAGUCCAUGCUGAAACUGCAGAAUGAAUUCAGAUCUGUUUACCUCUCGAGACGUAUCGUGGACAAAAAGAAAAACAAAGCUGGUGAAUUGUGGGAAGACAUCUCUGAAAAAUCACAGCAUCACUUGAGCCGGUGCUAAGUAAGUAGACUGCAGCCUCCUACAGAAGAUGAAUCACCGGGCACCUUGCAAACAGCUGAGACUCUGGCUUUGAAAGGAUCCCUCCAGGCGUGGAUGGGCCAGCCUGGGGGAUGGGCCGGUUCUGGGGACUCGGGGCUAUUGUAUCCAAGGCGCUGAGAGCAGCUCUCAGGUGUGGGACCUGCAAAGAGGUUUUCGAAUGAGCACAUUUUCUCGGUAAUGCUGUGUCUCUGUGUCUCCUUUACUGUAUUUGAAGCUGUGGCCUUGGAUACGGAAGACACUGACGCUGAUAAAUUGCGUUUCACAGCUAAAACAAUUGAAAUUCCUGGCACGGUGGACUUUUCCAUAAUGUUCUUUGCCAUGGGCAAAACUUUUUUCUAAAGAAUUUGAAGAUUCUUUUUUUUCUCCCUGCGAAGAAGGAAAUCGUGAUACGUCUCAAUUUAUCCUCAACUGAGAUGUUUGAUUUCACAGUUAUUCAAGAAACUCUCAUGGCGUUUUAUUCCAGUAGACUUAGUGCCUCACUGCUGUCUUCCCACUUCGUCUUGUCGCUUUGGGUUCGAGUGAGGAAAUUCUCCCGUUUGACGGAACCACGGCUCUCUGAUGGAGCAGAGCUGGGCAGAGGACACACCAGAGCACAGAAGAGGUUCCUGGCAUUGCAGCAGAUCUGACGCUGCCCUCUCUUUCUGCUUGGGCCUCGGCUCAAGCAAUGCCACCUACUUCAGGAUUCCAGAGAGAACCUAUCUUUAACUGUCAUUAACACGGAGAGUACCCAGGUGGACAGUCCCAUCCCUUCCCUCACAAACAAGCCCAACAACAAUAUUGGUUAAUUGUCCGCAUGGUCCUGGCCAGGGCCCGGUGCUCUAUUCCUGGAGCAGCUCAGAGGCCCAGAAUCUAAGCUCGAUUGUGGUACGGGGUCCAUAUACAGUGGGAGGAACGUGUCCCAGUACCCUGCGGUCCCACUGCUCUGGUUCCAUCGUGAGAACAGUGACUUUGCUGGCAGGUCUGCAUUCAGGGAGUGAGCAUGUCCAGACGGCACGCUUGGGAGCCGGUGGCUGGGGAGUAAGGACGGCAGAGAGAUCGGGCGCGGAGCAGGGCCUGUAGCCCCAUGAAAGGUCGUCACGCCACCUCCUCCACGGAAGUGCCUCGUGUCGCCACCCAUCAGUGCACUCUCGCCAGCCCUGAUGCUUCGUCCACGACACCCUCUGCGCUUCAUUAGCCCCAUCCAUCAGCCCUAAAGAAGGAGAGCAAGAAUCUCCAGUGAGCCUGGAAGGUACAACUCCUCCUUUUUGGCAGUCUGGGAGAGACUGGGUGCAGCACUGCCUCAUCCGUCAACCAGAAACGUAAGCCAUGGCCCCAGCUUUCUUCUCAGCAUCAGGGAGAAGCAUACAGAUGUGGCCUGAAGGACGUCCUCAGUGUGAAGUGCAUAAUCAUCAAUUAAUUGGGAACCACCCAUCUGCCUCUGGAAUGACUCAGGUGGAAACAGCAGAUCAGACAGAACUCAGGAAGUGGUGUGUCCUUUACGACUGUGGAUCCCCUGAAAGCCUGGGCUGUCUUCCAAAAGCUGAGAUGCUUCCUAAGGAAAUGCAAGAAGGGACCGUCGCUGUCCCCUGAGCAAAUGCCAAGAGAGUUUCACAAGGGCGCCCCAGGGGCUGCCGCUGACCCGAGAGCUGGCCAGGUCUGUGCACAGGCUCUAGGAAAGACAUGCCCCAGUGAGCACCGACUGAUAAGCUGCUAACCUCGGUGGGAAUUCUGCAGCUUUUCCCUAAGGCAUGCAAGCUUUGCAUAAAAGGAGGACACGUAAAUGUCGUUAAAAAGGGGCAUUUUCAGUACUUUGCCGUUUCUCUAGAUUGGCAAAAAUUAUGAAAACAUACUAUAAAAUGAUGAUGCAUGAAGGACAGCGGCUUUAUGGUUAUGGGAGGCAGCUUGGGAUGGACUAAAUGACUUUCCAUUGUAAAAUCUCAAAUCUGUGACAUGUGUGACACUUAACAGCAUCUCACUUAUUGAACAUGACCUUGCUUGAAGUCCCCGACCCAGGGGGAAGUAAGAAUCAGUGGCCCACAGUUCAGACAUUCAUCUCACCCCUGUGGUCCCAUUUUCGUCAUCUUACUGUUCAAGUUACAUCUUUUGGGGGUCUGUUCCCUGUGAGGCUUUCUAGUACUUUCCCUGACCUCACCUGAAUCAGAAGUAGAAAGUAGGUGUCACUUUCGGUAACUGUUUUCUAACGGGCUUUGAAAGUCCUGAACACACCACGAGCCAAAGUGAGCCCAUCUAUAACAGGAGUUGGGAGAUUUGUGAACAAGGGGGUCAGCUAUUCACACAUGAAGUCCCGAGAUACAACCAGCCAGAAAGCACGAAGUUUGCCGAGUCUCAUUUUACUGCUCACAUGACUGUCUUUCGAACAUUGCACUGAUGCCGCUCUGUUGCAAAUCAGCUCAUAUCAGUUAGUUAAGACAAACCCUUCUCCAAUCUUUCAAGCAGCUAAGUGGGGAGGAUAUUUGUAUAUCGAAGAAACUUUAAAAAUGACAUUUCACAAAGCACAAUGACCUGAUAAAACUUCAUUGUCUUAUGUAAGUAAUGGUCGUUACCAUAUUACUAUCCUCCACUAGCUGAUUCCGUUGGGCUCCUGAAGGCCAAGCCCCUGCUGCAUGGCAGAGCUGAGAGGGUGUCGGAUGGGGUGACUGUCCCCCAUGGAACUCGUGUUUCAGGGGCAGGAAGACCCUCCAUACCCCAGGCCCCAGUGGACACAUCCACACUCCUCUGUGGGGAGGGACCCGGGAGACCUCAGAGAAAUGCUGUGACAUCACGGGGACUCUGGUGGGGUCGGUGAGCCCCCGCGGCCCAGCUCCCAGGACGGGGGUCCUGCUUCUGAGCCUGGGAGAUAAGAAGUCAGCUCCAUGCCUGCGGACAGAGCAUUUCAGCUCAAUAGCUCUGCCCCCAGAUUUUCACAGCCUUUUAAGCCAGGCUUAGGUUGUAUUUCUUGCUCUGAUGUUGCUAAAUCCUUCCAGACUACUUCUAGUAUUUCAACCUGAAGCCAGAGGAGUUUUAUUAGCCCUUUUCUGAGCCUCAAAGUGAAAUGUUAAAACUGGGGACAGAAGAAUAUCCCGGGCAGGACUGGCGCUCCCUCUCUCCCGGCUCCAGACCCAGAGCAGAUACCCAGCCGUUGGACCUUAGGCUCCUUGACUGUCAGGGGCCACUUGCAGGCCAUUCCUCUCCAUUCUGGCCAUGCUGGGCUGCAGCUCCCGGGCUCACGGUCUGGGGGACCCCUUUGUUCCAUGGAGUGUUAUCCCAGGGCCUGUUCUGUCCCCAGCAGAGUCUCUCCCACACACUUGCUCAUCUGCAGAGGCCCAAGCACAGUAGAAUCUGUUUGCCUGCAGGUGCCUUGGGAGGACGGAGCUGCAGCGAGGAUGGGAGGGGGCAGCGGGUGGUCAGAAAGAGCGUCCCCUCUUAGUGUCCUAAUCCAACAGUGCCUGCUUCCCAGCUGGAGCCACUUCUCAGCCUGGCCUGGAGCUUCUGCCCCGCCCCCUGUCCUCAGUCUCCUCCCCACACUAGCUACCACUGCUCUGCUCCCCUCACCCCUGUUGAGGUGCGCUGGCUGCAGACUCACCCCAGAAGCCACCCAUGCUGCCCACCACACCGCAUGUCUGGCUCUGUCACCCUCCCCCCGGGGUCCUGACCCUGAGGUUCCCUCUACAUGGGAAACUGAAGCUCAGCGGAAGAUACACACGGGGGAUAACUAACGGCCACGGGCCCUGAUCCUCCUGUGCCCUUAGGGUGCAUCCCCUUCGAGGGAGGCUGAGCCUACUUACCUGGCUUCCGGAGAAGGACAAACCCGUGUGGGUGCCUGGCCAUUGCAACUCCCUCAUCGCCGGGGACUUUACCUCCCCGUAUGUGGAGAUAAGAGUCAGAGACAGAGGCUGGGUGGCUCAGGUGUCCGGAGAACGGUGCAGACUGUUGUGCCUGCAGGCUUUGCUCCUUUUCCUGCUCUGGAGCUAAAUCUGUCAUCCCUGGAUGAAAGGGUGUAUGUGAACCUUUUCCUCUCUGAGCCUUUCCCUGAGGACCCCCCCCUCUCAGAGUCAUCAUGACCCUUGCUCCGAGGCAGCUCCACCCCCCAGGCCCAGAGCCGCAGGAAGGCCGGUGCUUUGGUUGGUCAAGAGGAACUAUCCUGGGACUUUGGAGCUCAGCUCUUCCCUCUGGGUGUGGCGUGCCGAUUCGCUUUCCCGUCUGCUACGCCCCUUCUCUUUCGUGUGUGGCCCUGUCUCACCAGGCCAGUGCCACCUGGAGCAGGGGCUGUGGUCACCUGAACCGUGGGGCAGACGUUAGUUUCUGAGCUCAGGGCUGAGGCCUACACAAGCCUCCUCCCAGGGGUCCUUAGUGAAGGACCUGAAGACCCCUGUACAACAAAGCUAGCAGCGCUUCAGGAUAGCUUCAGUUAUGGUCUCUCUCAGGGGGUCAGCAAGUGUCAUUCUGCACCACUGUCUUGCCAGGUGCCCCCAAAACAUGGAGGGCAUGCAUGGAGAUGCAGGGGUGCCACUUCUGCCCACCCGCGACCCCUCAGGCCAGGGGUCCUCCUUAGCCAAGAUGAAAUCCAGCUCAUGCUAUAGACAGACAAGGUUAAAUCAGAACAACGUGUGUGUAUAUGCGUGUGUGCCUGUAUGCGUGCAUGUGUGCGUGUGUGUGUGGAAGGUAUGGUGGUAAGUAUGAGUAGAGUCUGCAACCAUGGGAAGUCAGAGCUGGAAGGGAUCGCAGUGAAAACAGAAUGUGUCCCUGGGAGACACCCAGAGAGAAGUGGAGAGGGUAGUGAAGUCCCGGGCCCACACGGCCAGCUCCUCCCUGUGAAUCUAUAUAGAAGAGUCGCGUGAAGGCCACACCCUGAGCUGAUUUCUGUGCUUGUACUUCACACAGGCUGCAAGGUUUCAGGAUCAAUUCCACAUUCGUUACACUGACAAUUGCCUCUGUGCUCACGCCCCAGUGAUCUGGCCCUGCCUCCUGCCCCAGGCUCCGUUCUCAGCGGUCACCCCUCCCAGCCACUCAGGACUGGCCUUUGCACGUGCUGCCUGGAUGGCCCUGCUCACUGGCUAAGCUUCCUGAACCUCAGGGUCACAGAGCAGUGUCCCCGGCAGGCUGUGAUGGACACAGAGUGAGGGAGAGGUGAACCUUCAUUGUCAGGAGUCCCAAGAUUUGAGGACUGGUUGUUCCUGCCGCAGAAGCUGCCCGUUCCGACCUCGACCCUCUCCAGACUCACCUGUCUGGGGGUUUAGGCUCACGGACAACUGGCUUUUCUCUGGAAGGCCCACUGAGCACCGUCGGGGAGACACCUUCAAUCAGUCACAGGAGGGUGUGGGGUGUCAGAGGCGGAGCCCUGAGGUCAGGGACUCUCAGUCUGGUUGGGAGGAAAGAUUUGGGGAAGCGAGGCUACACCGUAAGAGGUCAUUAACAACCCAGCUAGAAACAGAAGAGCCGUUGCAAAGAAGACCGUGACCAGCCGCUGUGAAGGCUGCAGACACGCAGAGCCUCAGGAAUCCACGGAGGGAGCCGCAGGCUCGUCGUCACAGAGGGUUAUAAAGGGUCUCUCAGCAUCACUUUCUGGGCAAAUAACUGCACGUGAUAUGAGGAGAGGCAGAGCAUAAAAGCCUCCCGUGUUGGGUUUUUAAGGCCCAAAGUCGCGUCCUUCCUCACGCGGGGACUGGCCAAGAGCGCUUUCUUCAACCCACGAGCCUCUCCUUGGGGUUUGGCCGUGACCCAGGGUGACAGGUGAACUCAUGCAGUGCAGGGCGUGGGCCUUGAGAGAUUAUCCUCCUGUUUCUUCACAGGGGAGGGUGGGGAGUGAGGUGGAAGGAGCAUGGAUUUCAGCACAGACAGACCCAACCCCGUCCCAUCCUCCCUUCUAUUCAGUGUAGGACUUGGGGCAAGUUAUUGCAUGUCGUUGGGUGUCAGUUUUCCCACUUAUAUCAUGUUAACAUAACAAUGUGACCGUCCUCACUGUUUUUUUUUGGCUGAAAUAAUAUGCACGAAGCUGCUAGCACAGUGACCGGGUCGGCUCUGAACCAAAGUCGGUUCCAUCCCUCCCCUACUACCUGGGGAGGUGCUGAGCUCUGAGGACACAGCCCAAGACCCAGCCCACAGCUAUGCAUCGGAAAGUGUGCAGCCGUGCAUUUUAAAGAGAGUCAGAAAGAGAAAAACAAAUAUCGUAUAUUAACGCAUAUAUGUGGAACCUAGAAAAAUGGUACAGAUGAACCGGUUUGCAGGGCAAAAAUAGAGACACAGUUGUAGAGAACAAACAUAUGGACACCAAGGGGGAAAGUGACAGGGGUGGUGGUGGUGGGAUGAACUGGGAUAUUGGGAUUGACGUGUAUACCCUGAUGUGUAUAAAGUAGAUAACUAAUAAGAACCUGCUGUAUAAAAAAUUAAAUAAAAUUCAAAGAAAAAAAAGAGGGACGAUCUUUUCAGGUUUGAUUUCCAUGACAAAGGUGCCCUGGGGUCUGCUUGUGAAGCCCAGGAUUUGGCCUUUCCUAUCAUACCUUCUGGGUCUGCCUCUGCAGCCUGUCAUGACUCCUUAGUCCUCGAUGGAGCCCAGGGCCCCUUAUUGUUCAACACCCACUGAGCAGUUCACUACAUAUUAUUUCAGGAAAUGCAUUUUCCGGAAAGUCUAACCCUAAGAAAUGCAGCCAGCACUCUGCUACUUCCAUAUCAACUUUUUGCUUUUUUCUUCUGUGUUAAGUCUUUUUUAAUUUUGCCAAUCAGAUGGAUGAAAAGAGCAGUAUUCUAGGGGGCUAUGUUGCAUUUCUUUUCUUGUCUCUUGUUUAAUUAGGUUUACUGAAGUAGGCUUUACACACAGUAAAGUUCACUCUUUAGCGAACAUUCUCUGAGAAUUUCCACAUGUGGAGUCAUAACCACCUCCACGGUCAGAAAAGAUUCAUCCCCCCAAAUCCCUCCUGCUUCCGAUCUGUGGUCACCUCUUCUCUCUCCCAUGACCCUGGAAAUGACCAAUUCCUGUGCUCAUAUCGCCCCCUCUCCAGAAUGUCACAUAAAUGGAAUCAGACGGUCUAUAACCUUUGAGUCUGGCCUCUUUCACUUUGCAAAACGUGUUUGAGAGUCAUCAUUGUUGUUGUGUGUAUCAAAAGUUCAUUUUUUUUAUUGAUAUGUCAUAUUCCAUUGUAGGGAUGAGUUCCGGUGUGUUUAUCCAUUCCUCUGCUGAAGAACAUUUGGGUUGUUUCCCAACCCAAAUUUUUUGGUAGAUUAUACAUAAAGCCACUGUAAAUAUUCAUAUACAAAGUUUGAGUGAUCAUGUAUUUUUAUAUCUCUUGGGCAAUUACCUGCAAGUGGGAUUCUGGGUCACGUGAAAUGGUAUGUUAACUUCAUAGGAAACUGACACCAACUUCUUUUUUAUUCCAUAUAUAUGUAAACUUUUAAAGUAGACACAGAUUACCAAGUAAUCAAUAAGCUAAUUUAUCCCACAGAAUCGACAGUGGAGAGAUUGGUUCUGCCCUGAAGCUGUGUUUGAGCUCAUCUGUCUUCCCAUCAGCCCUAAGAUAUUACCCUUCUCUCCCACCCAUACUUCCCUUUCCAUUCCCAUGGGUGCCCCCAAGUUCUGUUCUCUUCCCCUUUUACCUGGCUUAUCAUGGCCAUUCCAGUAAGUUAUAAAAAAGUUAAUUAUAGUUGGUUGUUAUCUUCCACUGGUCAGCCAGGAUCUAGCUCAGAUAUAAUAUUGAAUAAAUAUCUCUCUUGGUUAUUUCUUAAUUAAAGAUAUCUUCUCCUCCUCAGAAUCUCUUCCAUCUUAUGUGACCAAUAUACUAUUUACGAACUCAUUAUUUUUUACAAUUUUGUUGAGAUAGAAUUCCAUAGCAUACAAUUCACCAAUUUAUAGUAUACAAUUAGAGGUUUUGUUCAUAUAUUCACAGUGUCAUGCAACUAUUAUAGUCAUCUAAUUUUAGACCAUUUCACCAUCCCAAGAAGAGGCCAUUGGGAUUUUGGUAGAGAUUGCACUGAAUCUGUAGAUGGCUUUGGGGAAUAUUGCCAUCUUUUAAAAAACAAUUAAUUCAUUCAUUUUUAUUGGAGUAUAAUUGCUGUAUAAUGUUGUGUUAGUUUCUGCUGUACAGUGAAGUGAAUCAGCUAUAUGUAAACAUAUAUCCCCUCCAUCUUGGACCUCCCUCCCCUCCCCCAAUCCCACCCAUCUAGGUCCUCAGAGUGCACUGGACUGAGCUCCCUGUGCUAUACAGCAGGUUCCCACUAGCUAUCUAUUUUACACAUGGUAGUGUAUUUAUGCCAUCUUAAUCAUCUUAAAGUCUUCCAAUCCAUGGACAUAGGAUAGCUUUCCACUUACAUAACUCUAAUUUCUUUCAGAAAUGUUUUAUAUUUUCAGUACAGGUCUUUCACUUCUGGCUAGAUUUAUUCUUAAGUAUUUUCCUUUUUUAGAUGAUAUUGUAAAUAGAGUUGUUUUCUUAAUUAAUUUCAAUUUUGGAUUUUUCAUUGCUAGGCAAUAUAAAUACCACUUUUUUUUUAAACUGAUCUUGUAUCUACACCUUGCUGAACUCUUUUGAUAGUUCUUUAAGUGUUUCAGUAGCUUUCUUAGGAUUUUCUAAAUAUACCAUUAUGUCACCUACAACUGGAAAUAGCUUUAAUUCUUCCCUUUUAAUAUGAAUUGCUUUAAUUUCAUUUUCUUCUAUAAUUUCCCUGGUUAGAACUUCUGGUACAAUGUUGAAUAGAAUCGGUGAGAGCUGAUAUCCUUGUCUUGUUCCUGAUUUUUGGAGAAAAACAUUCAUUCUUUCACCAUUAAGUAAGAGGUUAGCUGUGGGUUUUCCAUAUAUUUUCUUUGUAAGGUUGUGGAAAUUUCUUUCUAUUCUUAGUUUUGUGAGUUUUAUUAUGAAAAUUCAUUGGAUUUUGUCAGAUGCUUUUUCCUGUGUUUAUUAACAUCAUGAUGUGUUUUUACUUCUUCGUUACAUUGGUUUAGUGUACUGUAUUAAAUGAUUUUUCAAAUGUUAA